RNAcentral lists this ribosomal RNA (452 nucleotides) under uncultured Lactobacillales bacterium. RNAcentral's name for it is "bacterial SSU rRNA". It matches the Rfam family "Bacterial small subunit ribosomal RNA", at positions 917 to 1370 of the family's 1533-position model. The record is from RNAcentral. Lineage: Bacteria; Bacillati; Bacillota; Bacilli; Lactobacillales.
GGGCCCGCACAAGCGGUGGAGCAUGUGGUUUAAUUCGAAGCAACGCGAAGAACCUUACCAGGUCUUGACAUCCAGUGACAACCCAAGAGAUUGGGCUUUCCCUUCGGGGACACUGAGACAGGUGGUGCAUGGUUGUCGUCAGCUCGUGUCGUGAGAUGUUGGGUUAAGUCCCGCAACGAGCGCAACCCUUAUUACUAGUUGCCAGCAUUAAGUUGGGCACUCUAGUGAGACUGCCGGUGACAAACCGGAGGAAGGUGGGGAUGACGUCAAAUCAUCAUGCCCCUUAUGACCUGGGCUACACACGUGCUACAAUGGGCGGUACAACGAGUUGCGAACUCGCGAGAGCAAGCUAAUCUCUAAAAACCGUUCUCAGUUCGGAUUGUAGGCUGCAACUCGCCUACAUGAAGCUGGAAUCGCUAGUAAUCGUGGAUCAGCAUGCCACGGUGAAUACG